RNAcentral lists this ribosomal RNA (471 nucleotides) under Triticum aestivum (bread wheat). RNAcentral describes it as "partial small subunit ribosomal RNA". The record is from RNAcentral. Lineage: Eukaryota; Viridiplantae; Streptophyta; Magnoliopsida; Poales; Poaceae.
AUGCGUGAGGAUUUCGGAGUCCUGCAGAAGGAUAAUGCCCAGGUGCAGUCGCAGGUGUCUAAACUGCAAGCAGAAGUGCAAGCAAUUGGGUCCAAGCAAGGAGAAAUUUCUGUAACAGUGGGGGAAGUUGAGGAAGUGGUAUUGGAUCUAGGGAAACUGCAGAACAAGUUUUAUGGUCCAUUUGUGAUAACGCAGAGAGUGGGCAAAGUAGCUUACAAACUGCAGUUCCUUGACCAUGUGAAAAUUCAUCCUGUAUUCCAUGUGAGCCAGUUGAAAAAGCACAUCGGUUCCAAGUCCAUUCCCAGUAAAAACCUUCCCAUGGUCACAGCUGAUGGCACAGUCAAGACUGGGCCGACAGAAGUCCUUCAAGUCAAGCAGGUACCUCGACAAAAUAUGCCGGUGGUACAGUGGUACAUUCAGUGGGAAAAGUUACCACUAGAAGAUGCACGUGGGAGGAUGCAGAUUUCAUAA